GGUUACUAUGGUUACUACACAAUAGGAGACGGGACAGGGCGCUGUGCAAAUGGGGAGAAGAAAAAACGAAAGGACAGAGUAGGGAGGUGGUUUGCAGAACCGCUUGACUGAUCACACUGUAGCUAGCUCCCCCGACACUGUGCAGAGUAAAAGAGAGAGGUAGACCGGGAGAGAGAGGUGGAAGGAGAAGAACCGGGGUAGGCCUCGGCCUAGGUUUUAGGGGAAAGGGUUAUACACUCAAAGAAGAACUCCGUUCUAGGCAUGAAUAGAAUGGAUACAAAACUUUGAGACUGCACUAUUAUCUAGGCUGUAAUGGCAUUAUUCAGUUCGAUGCUGUUUGACUACACGUUGGGCUGCAUGCUGUAGCCAUGUGCCCAUCAAUACAAUGAUGGGGAGAAGUUAUAGAACAAAGGGAGAGAAGGUGCGCGUGCUGCCCCUAUGUGUGUAUGUCAACGUACAGUAUAAACCGAGAGAGACGGUUAAAGAAAGGGAGAGUGAAAGGGGACACGCAUCGCUGGAUAUCAUAGGUUGUAGAAGCUCAGAUGGUGGUGAGGUGAUUUUCAGUCCUACAGAGAAAGACAAGGACACCACUUCAUUCACUGCUAUGGCCUGUGGGGAGGGAUGGACAUCAUAAAGGAGUAACGAUGAAAACUCGAACUCACAAAGAAUCGAUGCCAAUGCGCAGUGGGCGGAGGCGGGGGGGAAGCAACGAGGAGAGGAGGGGUAGACGCCCGCAUCCCAGCCCUUCUCGUGCAGAACGAAACGACAGGCAGACGCAAAGAGCUGCUGGCGAGGAAUUGGCUGUCAGUCGCUUCAAUCACAGAUCACAAGGCCAUGAUUCGUCAGAGAGUGAAGGGGAGGAACUUGUGCCUCCACCAAAGAGGCAGAAAGUCCAGGAUUCUUCCUCUGUCACCAACCCACCGACUUCAACUCAUUCAACUGACAGUACUCCCCCCACUAUACCGCCCCCACCCUCGGCUCCCAGACAGUCACGUGACAGUGACAACGAGGAUGGUCAAUCCCAGGGCAGCAGGAGUUCAGUUGUAGGGAGCUUGGCCAAUAGUCUGAGCAGUGGGCGGGACAUCGACCAGGACAAUCGAUCUUCCUCCCCGAGUCUCUCUGCCUCGCCUCCAGCCAGUUUAGACUCUGACUCUGAUGGUCCAGACUCACCAAAGCAAGGAGAGGGGGAACGGGAGAAAAGGAAAGAGGGAGGAGUGGGGAAGACAGGAGGAGAGGAAAGGAGAGCAGCCAGAGAGGGGAGAGGGGAUGAGUCUUGCGGGGAUGGAGAAAGGAAGGAUGGAGGAAUAGAGGACAGCCCUUCUCUGAAGCUGCCAUCCUCCUCCAUCUCUUCCUCUGCUCCUGUUCCCUCUCUCCGCGGAGCAGGGGAUUCAGCCAAUGACAGCAAUAGUGUCAGGAAGUCCUAUUUCUCACAGGACUCCAAGCUGGUGAGCAAGAUGGAGUAUGGACCGGCCAGCGCUGACACUGUGCACAGUGGCAAUCGAAUGAACUCCAAAGCUAAAGCUCAGUGCGUGACCAAGGCAACUGUCGCCGGGGGAGACUAUCCCCACGGCAACCCCAACAUUCCACACCCCCCUCCACCACCCCUUCCUCCUCCACCAGCGCUGAAACCCUUAGAACUAGGGGGGCAGAACCUGCCCUCAGAAGUCAAGGUAGAGAGAGAGAAAAUAGAGAAAGGUGAGAAACUGAUGGACAACAAGACGGCUCCUCCCUCUCUGUUACCCCAAACCAGCCCCUUACCCCCCUCCCAGCCCCCGCCCCACCCCCACCACUAUAGCCCCACUGGCUGGCAGGGAGGCACCGCAACCGGUUGCCAGGGGAGCUGGGGCUACACCCGUUACUCUGGUAACCACCACACUCACCAGCCGCAGCACCAACCCCCAGUGCAGCAGCAGCAACUGCCAUCCGUCUACAACCCCCCUUCCUCCCGUCAUUCGUCCUCCUCCCACCCCCCUUACCUCCCCCACCCCCAUAAGGAGUACCUCCCCAGGUACGCUUCCGGGGGAGGGGAAAGGGAGAGGGGGGUGGCCGGCGAGAGGG
Oncorhynchus tshawytscha (Chinook salmon) is the source of this 2058-nucleotide long non-coding RNA. The record is from Ensembl. Lineage: Eukaryota; Metazoa; Chordata; Actinopteri; Salmoniformes; Salmonidae.